UACGGAGGGUGCGAGCGUUGUCCGGAAUCACUGGGCGUAAAGGGCGCGUAGGCGGCGCGACAAGUCAACGGUGAAAGCCUGGGGCUCAACCCCGGGUCGGCCGUCGAUACUGUUGGGCUUGAGCACUGUAGAGGCAGGUGGAAUUCCGGGUGUAGCGGUGGAAUGCGUAGAGAUCCGGAAGAACACCGGUGGCGGAGGCGGCCUGCUGGGCAGUAGCUGACGCUGAGGCGCGACAGCGUGGGGAGCAAACAGG
This 253-nucleotide ribosomal RNA is filed under the name uncultured bacterium. Its description in RNAcentral is "partial 16S ribosomal RNA". It matches the Rfam family "Bacterial small subunit ribosomal RNA", at positions 524 to 776 of the family's 1533-position model. The record is from RNAcentral.